GGUCAAGUGAAGAAGCGCAUACGGUGGAUGCCUUGGCAGUCAGAGGCGAUGAAAGACGUGGUAGCCUGCGAAAAGCUUCGGGGAGUCGGCAAACAGACUUUGAUCCGGAGAUCUCUGAAUGGGGGAACCCACCUAGGAUAACCUAGGUAUCUUGUACUGAAUCCAUAGGUGCAAGAGGCGAACCAGGGGAACUGAAACAUCUAAGUACCCUGAGGAAAAGAAAUCAACCGAGAUUCCCUUAGUAGUGGCGAGCGAACGGGGAUUAGCCCUUAAGCUUCAUUGAUUUUAGCGGAACGCUCUGGAAAGUGCGGCCAUAGUGGGUGAUAGCCCCGUACGCGAAAGGAUCUUUGAAGUGAAAUCGAGUAGGACGGAGCACGAGAAACUUUGUCUGAACAUGGGGGGACCAUCCUCCAAGGCUAAAUACUACUGACUGACCGAUAGUGAACCAGUACCGUGAGGGAAAGGCGAAAAGAACCCCGGAGAGGGGAGUGAAAUAGAACCUGAAACCGUAUGCGUACAAGCAGUGGGAGCCUACUUGUUAGGUGACUGCGUACCUUUUGUAUAAUGGGUCAGCGACUUAUAUUCAGUGGCAAGCUUAACCGUAUAGGGUAGGCGUAGCGAAAGCGAGUCUUAAUAGGGCGUUUAGUCGCUGGGUAUAGACCCGAAACCGGGCGAUCUAUCCAUGAGCAGGUUGAAGGUUAGGUAACACUGACUGGAGGACCGAACCCACUCCCGUUGAAAAGGUAGGGGAUGACUUGUGGAUCGGAGUGAAAGGCUAAUCAAGCUCGGAGAUAGCUGGUUCUCCUCGAAAGCUAUUUAGGUAGCGCCUCAUGUAUCACUCUGGGGGGUAGAGCACUGUUUCGGCUAGGGGGUCAUCCCGACUUACCAAACCGAUGCAAACUCCGAAUACCCAGAAGUGCCGAGCAUGGGAGACACACGGCGGGUGCUAACGUCCGUCGUGAAAAGGGAAACAACCCAGACCGCCAGCUAAGGUCCCAAAGUUGUGGUUAAGUGGUAAACGAUGUGGGAAGGCUUAGACAGCUAGGAGGUUGGCUUAGAAGCAGCCAUCCUUUAAAGAAAGCGUAAUAGCUCACUAGUCGAGUCGGCCUGCGCGGAAGAUGUAACGGGGCUCAAACCACACACCGAAGCUGCGGGUGUCACGUAAGUGACGCGGUAGAGGAGCGUUCUGUAAGCCUGUGAAGGUGAGUUGAGAAGCUUGCUGGAGGUAUCAGAAGUGCGAAUGCUGACAUGAGUAACGACAAUGGGUGUGAAAAACACCCACGCCGAAAGACCAAGGGUUCCUGCGCAACGUUAAUCGACGCAGGGUUAGUCGGUUCCUAAGGCGAGGCUGAAAAGCGUAGUCGAUGGGAAACAGGUUAAUAUUCCUGUACUUCUGGUUACUGCGAUGGAGGGACGGAGAAGGCUAGGCCAGCUUGGCGUUGGUUGUCCAAGUUUAAGGUGGUAGGCUGAAAUCUUAGGUAAAUCCGGGGUUUCAAGGCCGAGAGCUGAUGACGAGUCGUCUUUUAGAUGACGAAGUGGUUGAUGCCAUGCUUCCAAGAAAAGCUUCUAAGCUUCAGGUAACCAGGAACCGUACCCCAAACCGACACAGGUGGUCGGGUAGAGAAUACCAAGGCGCUUGAGAGAACUCGGGUGAAGGAACUAGGCAAAAUGGCACCGUAACUUCGGGAGAAGGUGCGCCGGCUAGGGUGAAGGAUUUACUCCGUAAGCUCUGGCUGGUCGAAGAUACCAGGCCGCUGCGACUGUUUAUUAAAAACACAGCACUCUGCAAACACGAAAGUGGACGUAUAGGGUGUGACGCCUGCCCGGUGCCGGAAGGUUAAUUGAUGGGGUUAGCGCAAGCGAAGCUCUUGAUCGAAGCCCCGGUAAACGGCGGCCGUAACUAUAACGGUCCUAAGGUAGCGAAAUUCCUUGUCGGGUAAGUUCCGACCUGCACGAAUGGCGUAACGAUGGCGGCGCUGUCUCCACCCGAGACUCAGUGAAAUUGAAAUCGCUGUGAAGAUGCA
RNAcentral lists this ribosomal RNA (2024 nucleotides) under Pseudomonas aeruginosa. RNAcentral's name for it is "partial 23S ribosomal RNA". It matches the Rfam family "Bacterial large subunit ribosomal RNA", at positions 1 to 2063 of the family's 2925-position model. The record is from RNAcentral. Lineage: Bacteria; Pseudomonadati; Pseudomonadota; Gammaproteobacteria; Pseudomonadales; Pseudomonadaceae.